UCAGUGGAUUUGUAGAAAGUUUUA
Molecule: microRNA, 24 nt
Filed under: Hydra vulgaris (swiftwater hydra)
Lineage: Eukaryota; Metazoa; Cnidaria; Hydrozoa; Anthoathecata; Hydridae
Description: hma-miR-3012b
Source: miRBase by way of RNAcentral